This 74-nucleotide transfer RNA is filed under the name Culex quinquefasciatus (southern house mosquito). It matches the Rfam family "tRNA". Rfam says of the family: Transfer RNA (tRNA) molecules are approximately 80 nucleotides in length. Their secondary structure includes four short double-helical elements and three loops (D, anti-codon, and T loops). Lineage: Eukaryota; Metazoa; Arthropoda; Insecta; Diptera; Culicidae. The record is from Rfam by way of RNAcentral.
GCCCGUGUGGAUUAAUCGGACCGCGCACUGGACUCACAAUCCAGAGGUUGCUGGUUCGAAUCCGACGGCGGGCG